This 253-nucleotide unclassified non-coding RNA is filed under the name uncultured Alphaproteobacteria bacterium. RNAcentral describes it as "contains 16S-23S intergenic spacer region". It matches the Rfam family "Bacterial small subunit ribosomal RNA", at positions 524 to 776 of the family's 1533-position model. Lineage: Bacteria; Pseudomonadati; Pseudomonadota; Alphaproteobacteria. The record is from RNAcentral.
UACGAAGGGGGCUAGCGUUGUUCGGAAUUACUGGGCGUAAAGCGCACGUAGGCGGAUCAGUCAGUUAGGGGUGAAAUCCCGGGGCUCAACCCCGGAACUGCCUCUAAUACUGCUGGUCUGGAGGUCGAGAGAGGUGAGUGGAAUUCCGAGUGUAGAGGUGAAAUUCGUAGAUAUUCGGAGGAACACCAGUGGCGAAGGCGGCUCACUGGCUCGAACCUGACGCUGAGGUGCGAAAGCGUGGGGAGCAAACAGG